UCGAGAAUAUUCGACAAUGGGGGAGACCCUGAUCGAGCGACGCCGCGUGAAGGAAGAAGGUCUUCGGAUUGUAAACUUCUUUUGCCAUUGAAUAAGCCGCAAGGCUGAAGGUAAAUGGCGAAUAAGGGGUUGCAAAUUCUGUGCCAGCAGCAGCGGUAAUACAGAACCCCCAAGCGUUAUCCGGAUUUAUUGGGCGUAAAGGGUCCGUAGGCGGUCCGUAAAGUUUUCCGUCAAAUUUUCAGGGCUCAACCUUGAAACCGCGGAAAAAACUAACGGACUAGAGGGUGUUAGGGGCUGAUGGAACGGUCGGUGUAGGGGUGAAAUCCGUUGAUAUCGACCGGAACGCCAAAAGCGAAGGCAUUCAGCUGGGAUAACCCUGACGCUGAUGGACGAAAGCGUGGGCAUAAAAAAGG
This 413-nucleotide ribosomal RNA is filed under the name uncultured bacterium. Its description in RNAcentral is "bacterial SSU rRNA". It matches the Rfam family "Bacterial small subunit ribosomal RNA", at positions 355 to 776 of the family's 1533-position model. The record is from RNAcentral.